RNAcentral lists this non-coding RNA (68 nucleotides) under unclassified sequences. Its description in RNAcentral is "DUF805 RNA". It matches the Rfam family "DUF805 RNA". The record is from RNAcentral.
AAACAGUGGAGACCAGCGACCACUUUAAAAGCGGGGUGACACUGAAAUGCCAUAACAGUAGGGGAAAU